GUGGGCCGCUUUUGCUCGCGGUCACUUCAUCUUAAGUUGUAUAUAUGUGCAGAGCGCGGCGCGGGUGGUCGCCUCCGCUGCUGCCGCCACCCGCCUGGCCUGCCUUUGACCCCAUGGGUCACAGACAAGGCAGGGUGAUCGCGGCAAGACCCUGAGUGAGACUAGAGGCGUUACCCAGAGGGUGCGAGGUCGAGCACCCUCCCUGUCCCAUCGCAAACCCAAAGAUCCCCGUUCCUGGAGAUUCUGAUUGAGGUCCCAGCCCUACCUGUCCUGAUGCCUGACCAGCAGGAUGCAAGCCCAGGAGGCCAUCCAGGAUACCAGGACUGGGAGAGAAUGUGGGUACGGGGAAUACUCGCCCUGCUUGCAAAAGGUUUUACUAGGGUGGGGAGUUUCUAGAAAGUAGAGGGGCUGUGGGAUCAGUGAUAGUGGUGGGUGGCUUUUUUUGAGGGCAGAAGAUGCUAGAGGAGGUUGAACCUUAUAGGGGAUGAUCUAGGGAAUGGGGGAACUUGGGGAUGCUGGAGUAAGAGGGC
This 530-nucleotide long non-coding RNA is filed under the name Pan troglodytes (chimpanzee). RNAcentral's name for it is "long non-coding RNA NONPTRT008275". The record is from RNAcentral. Lineage: Eukaryota; Metazoa; Chordata; Mammalia; Primates; Hominidae.